CGAUUAUUUACGAGGUCCAUCCAUGUACCUCCCAUUCUUCUUGCUAGUCCCGUUUGUACUGCAUCUGCUUUGGCUGUCCAAGGAGACUUGGCUCCCAUCAGGUACUGGAAGGUUGUGAUAAGGUCUCUCCAGAGCCUUCUUCAGGUUAAACAGGCACAACUCUCUCAGACGACUAUGUUUGAAGUUUUUCAGGGAACUCCAUUGAUUACUCUGAUUGUGGCUAAUGCAGGACCCCUGGGAUUCAAUCAAGUCUUCUGCUGAGGAUCUGGAGCUGUGGACUCAAGCCUAGUUUACAGACACAAGUCUGGAGCCAAUUCCUUGCUGAUCCAGCUGUAAAUGGAUAUGGAAUCAUGGGCAGACAGGCUGCAAGCUGCUGUCUAAAAUAACGACAAUGCCCUUUCCAAACCAACACAGCAGCCUUUUGAAGACACUUGUCUCACAAACCUCAUAUUCACCAGGAUAUUUAGCUAUUAGUCUGAACGAAUUAUCCUAGAAAUAUUACUAUGAGUCAGCUUAAGAAACUGUAGUAUGAUCAAGAAAAAUAUUUUCCUAAUGUUAUUUAAGAAUAUUAAAUUUGGCCAGAAGAGUCAGAAGGAUCCAACUAGCCCAGGAUUCAGACUUACAAAGGUGUUACUGUACUGUUUGUCACAAGUGUGGCUUGUUCCUCUUGACAAUAACUGUCUUUUUCCCAGAAGAAUGGUUCAUAAGUAAUUGCCAAUAUCCAACAACUGGUAAUAGGACUGGUGCUUCUGGAAAUCAAAGAAUCUGAAUACAAGGGCAGUGAUGACAAGGCCCUAGGAAACCCCAGCAUCUCCCUUUUUUAUUCCCUUUUCUCUUAUUCACUGACAAAAGCACCAUCCAGUGGAGUGGAGCAAGACCUUAGUCAAUCCUGUGCCUGUCACAGCAGCCAAAUUUCAAAGGUGCCAGGAACAGAUGGUAAUAUCCCCUAGUUAAGGGAUGUUUGGUGAAACAUUUUAUAGAGCAGAUUGUGGCACUGAAUUCAGUAAGGCUAGUUUUCUCUUGAGAGGAUAAAAAAAGAGGAAGAAAAGGAAGAAAACAACAACAAUCCCCAGGAGAACAGCAGUUAGCAUACUUGAUAAAGGCAAUAAGAACAGUACACUCACAGUAGUACUUCCUCCAAAUGUUCUCAUGGCAAUCAUCCAGAAAACAGUAAGUUGAGGACCUCCUGAGCCAGAGAUAUUGUCACUAUGUUUAUUAGAACUCUAUAAUGCAAUUGUUUAAUGCAAUUGUGGUGUACACAAUGGAUAUCUUAAACAUAUGUUGUAUACCCUUAUGCACAGUACCACUGCACAUAACACAACAGGCUUGCGUUUUACUUUGGCUGAAGUUCUCUUUUAUGAAACUGUCCAGUCACUCUUUGAAUUAUGUAAACUUGUAGCAACCACAACUUUCUGCAGGGAAACUUUUCACAGCUUGAUCGACUAUUGUAUGAAAAUUCACUUCUGUUGUUUGCUUUUUUCUAGUCAUCUGCUUCUUUCAUUUGAAGUCUCUUGCUUUUGUAUUGGAUUAAAGAAGUUAUAAUAAAAAUUUGUAAUUGUCUUUUCUAG
Long non-coding RNA from Passer domesticus (house sparrow), 1568 nucleotides. RefSeq lists it as uncharacterized. The transcript has 3 exons. Lineage: Eukaryota; Metazoa; Chordata; Aves; Passeriformes; Passeridae. The record is from RefSeq and is a predicted model, not a curated record.